RNAcentral lists this ribosomal RNA (253 nucleotides) under uncultured bacterium. Its description in RNAcentral is "partial 16S ribosomal RNA". It matches the Rfam family "Bacterial small subunit ribosomal RNA", at positions 524 to 776 of the family's 1533-position model. The record is from RNAcentral.
UACGGGGGGGGCAAGCGUUGUUCGGAAUUACUGGGCGUAAAGGGUUCGUAGGUGGCCAACUAAGUCAGACGUGAAAUCCCUCGGCUUAACCGGGGAACUGCGUCUGAUACUGGAUGGCUAGAGGUUGGGAGAGGGAUGCGGAAUUCCAGGUGUAGCGGUGAAAUGCGUAGAUAUCUGGAGGAACACCGGUGGCGAAGGCGACUACCUGGCCUGUUCUUGACGCUGAGGCGCGAAAGCUAGGGGAGCAAACGGG